This 253-nucleotide ribosomal RNA is filed under the name uncultured bacterium. RNAcentral describes it as "partial 16S ribosomal RNA". It matches the Rfam family "Bacterial small subunit ribosomal RNA", at positions 524 to 776 of the family's 1533-position model. The record is from RNAcentral.
UACAGAGGGGGCAAGCGUUGCUCGGAAUGACUGGGCGUAAAGGGCGCGUAGGCGGCUCAUACAGUCAGGCGUGAAAUUCCUGGGCUCAACCUGGGGACUGCGCUUGAGACGUGUGGGCUUGAGUGGGGAAGAGGGUCGUGGAAUUCCCAGUGUAGAGGUGAAAUUCGUAGAUAUUGGGAAGAACACCGGUGGCGAAGGCGGCGACCUGGUCCUUGACUGACGCUGAGGCGCGAAAGCGUGGGGAGCAAACAGG